RNAcentral lists this long non-coding RNA (1650 nucleotides) under Marmota monax (woodchuck). The record is from RNAcentral. Lineage: Eukaryota; Metazoa; Chordata; Mammalia; Rodentia; Sciuridae.
AGCCCCUCCCCUCCAGGCUGGGUUCACAGCCCUGCCCCCCACUCACUCUCCAGACUCCCCUCCAUCCCUAAGAACCCCAUUUUUUUAGAUCUCUCCAUUUCUGUUUACUCCAGGUCCCUCGUUACACCUGGGGACACUAAGCAGUCCUGCAGGAUGGGGUCAGGAGGAGGCUGCAGAGUCACAGAACAAGAUAAGAUUUGGGGCUCAGAUUCAGUUUCCCUCAAAGUGCCCCCACCCUUCCUACCCACAUGGUCCCAGUCUGGACACACACACCUCAAAUCUGGGAUGGCACAGGCCACGGUGGCUAAGGACAGGAUAAGGACCCAUUUCCCCAAGGUGACAUCCCCUGGCCCACAGCUGGUUUCCAUUCCCACAGGGCAGGGCCUGAGAACAAGCUGCAGCCUGUUCCUCUGCCCAGCAGGUGGGCAGGUCCAAUCAAGCCUCCCCUCCCUUUCUGUGACCUUCGGGUCACCUUUACUUAUGUGUUCUGCAGGCAGAAGACGUGAAAGUGUGUCCUCUCCCCUCCAAGGAGGCCUCUGUGGUCUGGAGGGAGCCGGGGGCUUGUUCUGCCAGCAACUGCUGAAUUGUAUUCAUAAAGACUGAAGGUUUUAAAAACAAGGUAAUAAGACGACUUGGCCCAUUGUGACAGCUAGGGACAGCAGACAGAACCAAAGGAAAACAUGGCAUCUCAACCUGCAACCCACACCUGCACGUCAGGCAGGUGGACCUCGCUCUUCCUAUGUCACCCUAUGUCACUGUGCCACCAACCGCCCCAGGGCCCAGGCUCUGCCUUCUGGAAAUCUCAGCUCAUAAGUGACAUUAGUUCAUAGCUCGUUUGUGUGGUUAUGACAAAAUACCGGAGGCCUGGGGACCUGCCAACAACAGGGACUCGUUGUUCAUAGUCAGUGUUGGGGGGGCGGCUUCCGAGAAACUAGGCAAUGCAAAGACCCCUCUUCAAACCCUGAUUCUUAUGAUCAUGUCAGAAGAGUUCAGACGUGUCACUCAAAGGAACAGGAAGGAGUUUAUUGAAGGGACAGGAAAAAGCCAAGAGGACACUCUCCAGGGAGAGAGUGGGUCCUUUCAGAGAGCAGAGGGACAAUGUGCCUCCCCUGCACUCCAGGUUCAUUGAGGAUCCCAGAGAAGUUUUCAGAGAGUCCCAGGCAGGUCCACCUCUUGGCUUUUGACUGACAGCAGGUUGACAUCAGACUCUCAAGUCCCCACUGCUAUGACAGUUUUAUGUCACCUUGGCCAUGCUGACCAGUUCUAAUCGGAUUCUUGGUCAUUUUUACAGGUUUUAGAGUUAAGAAGAAUUAUCCUUAUCUUCCAGAAUCUGGUCUGUGAAAAGGGUCACAGAAAUCUCUCCCUUCAAAAUAACUUGGGUUCCUCUUAUCAACGUGAUUUCCUGCCUGCAUUUCCUUGCAGAUAACAGGUAGCUUGCUGAGGAAUGUGACUUAUCCUGUCCAGUUAGGCCAGGCAGGGCUGCAGGUAAAUUGCUUUUUGGCAAAGAAAGCAUGUGGGGGUCCGCACAGUGGCCCACUUUAUAGAAUUAUCCCGCUAACCUCGUGUUCCCACCGUGCUCAUCUGUCUGUUCCCCUAACAGUUGUAGAGGCUGGAAAUCCAAAAUGAAGCUGCCAGGAUCUGGUAUCUGGC